This 556-nucleotide ribosomal RNA is filed under the name uncultured archaeon. RNAcentral's name for it is "bacterial SSU rRNA". It matches the Rfam family "Archaeal small subunit ribosomal RNA", at positions 325 to 879 of the family's 1478-position model. The record is from RNAcentral.
ACGGGGUGCAGCAGGCGCGAAAACUUUCACACUGGGGGGAACCCCGAUGAGGGAAAUUCCUAGUGCUAGGACAUUUGUUCUAGCUUUUCUCAAGCGUAGAUAACUUGAGGAAUAAGGGCUGGGUAAGAACGGGUGCCAGCCGCCGCGGUAAUACCUGCAGCCCAAGUGGUGGUCGAUUUUAUUGAGUCUAAAACGUUCGUAGCCGGUUUGGUAAAUCUUUGGGUAAAUCGGGAGGCUCAACUUUCCGACUUCCGAAGAGACUGCCAAACUUGGGACCGGGAGAGGCUAGAGGUACUUCUGGGGUAGGGGUAAAAUCCUGUAAUCUUAGAAGGACCACCGGUGGCGAAGGCGUCUAGCUAGAACGGAUCCGACGGUGAGGGACGAAGCCCUGGGUCGCAAACGGGAUUAGAUACCCCGGUAGUCCAGGGUGUAAACGCUGCCGACUUGGUGUUGGAGGCCCUUCGGGGGCAUUCAGCGCCGGAGAGAAGUUGUUAAGUCGGCUACUUGGGGAGUACGUCCGCAAGGAUGAAACUUAAAGGAAUUGGCGGGGGAGCAC